GAGGAAUAUUGGUCAAUGGACGGAAGUCUGAACCAGCCAAGUAGCGUGCAGGAUGACGGCCCUAUGGGUUGUAAACUGCUUUUGUAUGGGGAUAAAGUUAGGGACGUGUCCCUAUUUGCAGGUACCAUACGAAUAAGGACCGGCUAAUUCCGUGCCAGCAGCCGCGGUAAUACGGAAGGUCCAGGCGUUAUCCGGAUUUAUUGGGUUUAAAGGGAGCGUAGGCUGGAGAUUAAGUGUGUUGUGAAAUGUAGACGCUCAACGUCUGAAUUGCAGCGCAUACUGGUUUCCUUGAGUACGCACAGCGUUGGCGGAAUUCGUCGUGUAGCGGUGAAAUGCUUAGAUAUGACGAAGAACUCCGAUUGCGAAGGCAGCUGACGGGAGCGCAACUGACGCUUAAGCUCGAAGGUGCGGGUAUCAAACAGGAUUAGAUACCCUGGUAGUCCGCACAGUAAACGAUGGAUGCCCGCUGUUGGUACCUGGUAUCAGCGGCUAAGCGAAAGCAUUAAGCAUCCCACCUGGGGAGUACGCCGGCAACGGUG
Molecule: ribosomal RNA, 539 nt
Filed under: uncultured bacterium
Lineage: Bacteria
Description: bacterial SSU rRNA
Rfam family: Bacterial small subunit ribosomal RNA
Source: RNAcentral